CCCUUAGAUGUCCGGGGCCGCACGCGCGCUACACUGAAGGAAUCAGCGUGGCUUUCUCCCUGACCCGAAUGGGUUGGGAAACCCGUUGAAUCUCCUUCGUGAUAGGGAUUGGGGCUUGAAAUUGUUCCCCAUGAACGAGGAAUUCCCAGUAAGCGCGAGUCAUAAGCUCGCGUUGAUUACGUCCCUGCCCUUUGUACACACCGCCCGUCGCUACUACCGAUUGAACGGUUUAGUGAGGGCCUCGGAUUGGUCUCGGCCCGCUCUUUACCGGGCGGCGCCGUUGGUCGAGAAGACGCUCGAACUUGAUCGUUUAGAGGAAGUAAAAGUCGUAACA
RNAcentral lists this ribosomal RNA (334 nucleotides) under uncultured eukaryote. RNAcentral's name for it is "partial 18S ribosomal RNA". It matches the Rfam family "Eukaryotic small subunit ribosomal RNA", at positions 1470 to 1796 of the family's 1831-position model. The record is from RNAcentral.